GUGGGGAAUAUUGGACAAUGGGCGCAAGCCUGAUCCAGCAAUGCCGCGUGUGUGAAGAAGGUCUUCGGAUUGUAAAGCACUUUCGGCGGGGACGAUGAUGACGGUACCCGCAGAAGAAGCCCCGGCUAACUUCGUGCCAGCAGCCGCGGUAAUACGAAGGGGGCUAGCGUUGCUCGGAAUGACUGGGCGUAAAGGGCGCGUAGGCGGCAUAUACAGUCAGGCGUGAAAUUCCUGGGCUUAACCUGGGGGCUGCGUUUGAUACGUAUAGGCUAGAGUGGGGAAGAGGGUUGUGGAAUUCCCAGUGUAGAGGUGAAAUUCGUAGAUAUUGGGAAGAACACCGGUGGCGAAGGCGGCAACCUGGUCCUUGACUGACGCUGAGGCGCGAAAGCGUGGGGAGCAAACAGG
Molecule: ribosomal RNA, 405 nt
Filed under: uncultured Acidisphaera sp.
Lineage: Bacteria; Pseudomonadati; Pseudomonadota; Alphaproteobacteria; Acetobacterales; Acetobacteraceae
Description: bacterial SSU rRNA
Rfam family: Bacterial small subunit ribosomal RNA
Source: RNAcentral